Zea mays is the source of this 484-nucleotide long non-coding RNA. RefSeq lists it as uncharacterized. The record is from RefSeq and is a predicted model, not a curated record. The transcript has 2 exons. NCBI's taxonomy places the organism in Eukaryota, Viridiplantae, Streptophyta, Magnoliopsida, Poales, Poaceae.
GCAACAAUUUUACGAUGAUCAUUCUUGCACAAGAAGGUUCCAGCAGUGAACCAAGGUCGAGUGAAUAUGCCAAGACUAUUUGCUCGGGGCUUCAGAUGAAACAAAGGAAGAAAAUCAUUUAAUAAAUGAUGAAGGUGUCAAUACAAGAACCUGAAGUUAUGGUUGCUUGCUUAUUAUGUAUCCCUACUUCUGGUGGCAGUAAAGCUAACUGGAAGUAUCAGCGAAGCGUUGAGUUAUUGCGAUCAUCAGAGUGUUAUAGGUUCACAUUAGUUGUUAACAAAUAUGACAAGAUGAUCCACCAUGAGUUAGUUCUCCUCUCUCAGAUGUGCUUUGUAAUUCCAAUAGAUGUCAAUGCACAACUUUUUUCAUCAGAGAUUGGCAAUGUGCCAUUUCAAAAAUCAAAACUCAGCGCUUUGUACUAAAUUGUUGUAACUUAUCACUAUGUUUGUAUUGUGCCAUUUGUAAUUUAUGUACAAUUUUGAUA